This 548-nucleotide ribosomal RNA is filed under the name uncultured Cytophaga sp. RNAcentral's name for it is "bacterial SSU rRNA". It matches the Rfam family "Bacterial small subunit ribosomal RNA", at positions 306 to 854 of the family's 1533-position model. The record is from RNAcentral. Lineage: Bacteria; Pseudomonadati; Bacteroidota; Cytophagia; Cytophagales; Cytophagaceae.
CCCCACACUGGUACUGAGAUACGGACCAGACUCUUACGGGAGGCAGCAGUGAGGAAUAUUGGACAAUGGUCGGAAGACUGAUCCAGCCAUGCCGCGUGCAGGAAGACGGCCUUAUGGGUUGUAAACUGCUUUUGCAGGGGAAGAAUAAGGACUACGAGUAGUUUGAUGACGGUACUCUGCGAAUAAGCAUCGGCUAACUCCGUGCCAGCAGCCGCGGUAAUACGGAGGAUGCGAGCGUUAUCCGGAAUCAUUGGGUUUAAAGGGUCCGUAGGCGGGCUAAUAAGUCAGAGGUGAAAGCGCUCAGCUCAACUGAGCAACUGCCUUUGAAACUGUUAGUCUUGAAUGGUUGUGAAGUAGUUGGAAUGUGUAGUGUAGCGGUGAAAUGCUUAGAUAUUACACAGAACACCGAUAGCGAAGGCAUAUUACUAACAAUUAAUUGACGCUGAUGGACGAAAGCGUGGGGAGCGAACAGGAUUAGAUACCCUGGUAGUCCACGCUGUAAACGAUGGAUACUAGCUGUUUGGUUGUAAGACUGAGUGGCUAAGCGA